UGAGAAUCAAUGGUUCUGAAUAAGAUUCUUCUUUCACAAGAUGAGCCUCCUUGUUCUGGUCUUUCUUGAACAGCCUACCCUUGUUGGAAUAACAAUCAUAGGAGAAAUGUCCCAUCUUAUGACACGUGAAACACUCUAUGUUUUGUUUGUCUUUCUUCUUAUAAUGAUGACUAGCGUUGUUUCUUCUUUCUGCAGAAUCAACUCUUCCUUCUUGUUCAUCAACAUUGCAUUCUUCCACCUUCUAUAUACAAUAGUGUCAUUCUUCCACUUACCUUGUAUAGUAGGCUUACCUCUCCAGUUCUUAAAUUUCUUCUUCCCAUCACCUCUGACAUGCUGCACUUUCAACGCUUGAUCAUCAAGUCUGACAGGAUCUCUAUCAAUAAGCCGCAUCUCGUGACCUCCAAGGAGCUCUGAAGCUCUUCAAUUUUCAGCUUUUCCAGAUCUUUAGACUCUUCAAUUGCAACGACGAUGAAAUCAAACCUCCGAGGUAACAAUCUCAUUAUCUUUUCCAUUAUCAACAUAUCACUAAGCUUCUCCCCACAACACUUCAUUUGGUUCGUAAGCGUCAAGAUUUUUUUAAAAUAAUCCCUGACCUUAGCACCAUUCUCCAUUUGCAGUAGCUCGUACUGCCUUCUCAAAGUUUGAAGUCGAACUUUCUUGAUCUUCUUUCCACCGGCAUGGCAAUGUACUAAAAUGUUCCGCACCUCCCUCGCUAUAUUCGCGUUUUGAAUUUUCUAAAAUUGUGUAUCAUCCACACACUGAUGAAUAAUCAACAAGGCCUUACCGUCCUUCUUUCUAAACUCCUCUUUUUGUUCUUCUGUGCCACGAGACUCAGUUGCAGACUUCACCCUUUCUACCACGUUGUUGAUGCCUUGCACCCGAAACAGCACUCGCAUUUGCGUGCUCCAUCUACUGCAAUUCUUUUCUGUAAGAAUGGGAAGAUUCGUCAUGGAAAGAUCUGCCAUCACCGCCUUCUUUCUACUUCAAGACCCUUCUUCUUUAAACGUCUUUCUUAGUCAGCCGCACUGUACCUAACACACAAACACCCUUCGUCUCUUUCUUCGUAACCUAGGCUAACCGAUACCACUGAUAGAAAGCUAAAGGCUAGUUAUGCAGAAGAGGUGAAAAC
This 1129-nucleotide long non-coding RNA is filed under the name Vigna radiata. Its description in RNAcentral is "long non-coding RNA (VRAD_LNC008649)". Lineage: Eukaryota; Viridiplantae; Streptophyta; Magnoliopsida; Fabales; Fabaceae. The record is from RNAcentral.